Molecule: small nuclear RNA, 106 nt
Organism: Antechinus flavipes (yellow-footed antechinus)
Lineage: Eukaryota; Metazoa; Chordata; Mammalia; Dasyuromorphia; Dasyuridae
Source: RefSeq, a predicted model, not a curated record
AUUCACUUCAGCAGCAUAUAUACUAAAAUUGGAAUGAUAAUAGAAAAGAUGAGCAUGACUUCUGUGCAAGGUUGACACAUAAAUUUGUGAAGCAUUCCAUAUUUUU